CCCCAAGAAUUCACUGCCCAUAUUCAAGCCAGUAAACAGUAAUAUCAAGAGCAGAAGACUUCUAGAUUACUCAAACCAAUUCAUGCUGUUUUCCAUUUCGUGUUUUUUUUUUUUUUGGUUUGUUUAUUGAAUUUUCUUUUUUUAAAACCUGGCCUGUAUGAGAUCGAUCCAGCUGGCUGUGUGGACAUCUCCAAGCUAAUCAUGCAAUCCCAAAGCAGCAUGGUCGACGUUCUCAAUAGAGCACAUGGCUUUAGAUGAGAGGUGAACCCAAGGCGACGUCCGUGAUAGGAGUGUUAAAAAACACAGGCCAUGGAGGAAUUAAAUUUGCCACAGCUGCAAUGGCAUGCCAUCACAUCUGAGGACAAUUAUAAAGACUUUCCUGGAGGAGCCUCAAGACACAUAGCAGCCACACGGAAGGCGAGAAGGAGCCAAGAAACCAGCGCACAAGUGAGAAAUCUCUCCUGAGAAACUAUUACUGUGGAGGGGAAGAAAAAAAACAAACAAACAAACAAACAAACAAAAAAAAAACAAAAGCAAACACAUGACUAUGUCCAUGCUGUGGUGUCAGAAAUAUACAGUGUACGAGUAUACUUCUUACAUCACUAUUAUUUCAGUAAUGCAGGCCAAAGCAAAUACUCGGGAACCACAAAAGCGAAGAUGAUCUCAAAACUCACAUAACCUUUCCUUAAUCAAUUUCACAUGACACACAGUUUACAAAGGAUUGCUAAAGAACACAAUGAUCAAAUACAGAGCUUUUAGUGUAGGCUUUAAUAACAUCUCAAAAGAACACAUGGAGAUCCACAGAGGAAAGUCUGUAUACUCAAUGUAAUGACCGACUCUUACUGAACCAUCAGAAUUAAGUCACUCUGUGAAAUCUUCGAACAGGAUCUCAGCCAAAAUUUACAGAAUAUUUUCCCUGUACACCAAAUGUAAUCGAUUAGCCAAAACAGGUUUUUAAGGGUGUACCCAUACGUCUGUGCAUCAAAUAAUACAUUCAAGAGACUGCAUAAUAAAGUAGGCUUAAAUUAUGUGAGGUGUAAUAAACACUUAAGCCUGAUCAACAAUGCCACAGCCACCCCUGGCCUGGAGACAAGAGCGCGAAAUUGACCGUGCUCCCUGGGUGGGAUGGAUGGUACACUCAACAUACACUAACCAAUCGUGGGUGUCUGUGAGCACAUGUAUGUGGAAGAGGGUGAACAGCACAUUCCUGCCCCUUGAUACACUAUGAUAAACACUUCUCCAAAGCAUUCUGCAAGCAGAAACUGGAAGAUUUAUUGCUUUAAUGAACACAUCUUAAACCCGUUAAAGCUUGUUCACUGGCCAGUUUGGUGUGCUGAGAGCAGAGAGAGAAAAAAGUCGAAUACAGAGACACUCAAGAAUAAGGAAUCAAACAUAAUGCAUUAGGUUUUCCACCCUGAACUUGAACAUGAUUUUUACAAUUAUAUCCUAUAAAUGAAAAAUUUGUGUUUUAAAUAAAGUUUUUAAAUUGUUACUACAACCUGUUUAGUCCCAUUAUUUUAUACAACAGAAGCCAAAAAUCUAAUGUCAAUUAGUAUUAAACACAAGGUAUUAAAGUGUCAUUGCAUCAUAUAAUCCAAUCAUCAAUCAGUAUGUAAAUACGUAUCCAAGGGGGAGGGGCAUCUAGAGCUGGGAGACAUUUUAGAUGUGCAUGUUCAUAGAACCUUGAUUUCUUGAUGACAGUAAAAGAGCAGUCAAUUCUUUAGUUUUGUGAAUAUUUGUAGACCUGUCACAUCAAGUCAUUUAUUAUUUACUAUAGAAAAUGAUGCAUAUUUAAACACAUUUAAAUCAGUGGAUCGUUAAUAGACCACGAAUGAACAUCUUUAGAGAUAUCUCUUUGGCACUGGUAGGAUGGACAACCUAUAAACUGGGCCAGAAGAAAUCAAAUGCAAACAAGUAUAAACAUCAUAAAAUAAUAACCCAAUAGUGGCCUAGUUUAUGUAUGCAUGUAUCACCAAAAAGCCACAUGAUUUCGAAUCAGGAAAGGAUAUAUAUAUCGGAGUACUGAAUCUAUACAAGAGAUGAAUAUCCAACAAUUUUAUUGCAUUAACCAAAUGCAUAAAACAUGAGCAGGAAAUUUGCACUUAACUUCACCCAGCCUGUAAAUAGCUUAGAAACCUACACUAACAAUGACUACGUUUACAUAGACAGCAGUAAUCUAAUUAUUGACCUUAUUCUGAAUAAGACAAUAUUGUGAUUAAGGUGUUUACAUGAGUCGCUUUUAGAAUAUUCUUUUCAUGUUCCCGUUUUACAUGUUAUAGAAUAUAGAUAGAUUAACGGCACACGUCAUUAAGUCCCCACUCCACGCCACCCGACGUUCCCUCCAGAAUUUCACGUAUCAACAUACAGUUUUUGGCCAUUUCAUUUAUAAUUUUACGAAAGCUUCAAGUGCAGUUAAUUAUUUGUUAUGCUGUACGUUCAAAUAGACGACUGCUUGAAGCCGUGGGCUGCGUCCAAAACCACAUGCUUACCUACUAUAUAGUAGCCGAGAUGCAUGUAUUUCGCCUACUAUAGGCCUAUAGCAGGUAAACACGCAGUUUCGGACGCAACCGUCCUCUCUUGUUUGCCGUUAAAUGGUUGAGCACUGCCGUGUGUGUACGUGUCCUGCCGCAAAAUGCGGUGAAAACUCCCACACGACGUUAACAGUGUGAUUAAGGUGUGUACAUGUCUAUGAUGCACGUUGAUAACGCGACUAAAAUAGGAAUACGCCACAUUUUUUAUUUUUUUUUUUUACUUCGAGUAUGACUUUAGCUGGAUUAAGGUAAUCAAUAAUCGCUGUUAAUAACCAGAGUAUCAGAGUAUUGUCUUAACCGGGUUAAGAUCAGAUUAUUGUUGUCUAUGUAAACAUACUGAAUGUCACUCACAGGAUGUGGAUGUUUAGUCUGAUGGCAUUUCAAGAAGUGGUGUGUACCCCUGAAAGAACGCCUUACAAUUUCUAAAUAUCAUCAAAGCAACUAAGAUUAAUGGUGCUGCAUAAAUGACCCAUUUCUUUUGGUCCUAUGUGAGGAGUAAUAAUAAUGCUGGUAGUAAAGUAGGUCACAUCUCAUCUAUGUGACGGUUUUUUUUAUUGCCGUAAUGAAAAACCUGACACCCUGCUCUACAGAUCCAGUUCAGCAGCUAGCACACAUCACAUACACCAUCGCUCUAUAAUUAGAAGUGCAGCCCAGUUUCAAACUUCAAAACGAGCAGGACCUUUUAUUUAUGUAUACUCUAUAUUAUACAUUUUUGCACAUAUUAUGUAAAUAAGAAGGACAAGCUAGUGUCAGACGCUUUCAAUGUGGCACAUUUUGAGAACUACACGAGAACUGCAUGGCAAAGAUGGAUGCAUUAAAGCAGCUCAGCAGAGAGUGGAGGUCAAAUGCAGUGGAGAGUGGAGGAGAGGGUGGUCAAGCAGAUUGAGACACAAAGAAUGCCCCAGCUGGCUUUACAGACAUCUCAGCCUGGUUGAAGGAUCAGCACAUCUAAUUUCACUUUUUCAGAGCUUCUUGUCAUCUUCGAAAAUCCCUCAAUCCAUCACAUUACCAUCAAGCCUGGCUUGUCCUGACUUUCAUCACCAUCAAGCCCGUGACCUGGAAAUCGACCGAAGUCAGUCAACCGUCUUGAAGGACAUAUCAGUUCUGUGACUGCACCACGAGGAGCGAGGAAGCUUCCAGGGGAGCUAGGAGUGAAGAUACACAGGGAUCCAUCCGGAAGUGUUUCUUGUCGAAAAACCUGA
Molecule: long non-coding RNA, 3733 nt
Organism: Ictalurus punctatus (channel catfish)
Lineage: Eukaryota; Metazoa; Chordata; Actinopteri; Siluriformes; Ictaluridae
Exons: 3
Source: RefSeq, a predicted model, not a curated record